This 460-nucleotide ribosomal RNA is filed under the name uncultured bacterium. RNAcentral describes it as "partial 16S ribosomal RNA". It matches the Rfam family "Bacterial small subunit ribosomal RNA", at positions 338 to 795 of the family's 1533-position model. The record is from RNAcentral.
CCUACGGGAGGCAGCAGUGAGGAAUAUUGGUCAAUGGGCGAGAGCCUGAACCAGCCAAGUCGCGUGAGGGAAGACGGUCCUAUGGAUUGUAAACCUCUUUUGCCGGGGAGCAAAAAGCGGUACGUGUACCGCAUCGAGAGUACCCGGAGAAAAAGCAUCGGCUAACUCCGUGCCAGCAGCCGCGGUAAUACGGAGGAUGCGAGCGUUAUCCGGAUUUAUUGGGUUUAAAGGGAGCGUAGAUGGGUUGUUAAGUCAGUUGUGAAAGUUUGCGGCUCAACCGUAAAAUUGCAAUUGAUACUGGCAGCCUUGAGUACAGUUGAGGUAGGCGGAAUUCGUGGUGUAGCGGUGAAAUGCUUAGAUAUCACGAAGAACUCCGAUUGCGAAGGCAGCUUACUAAACUGCCACUGACAUUGAUGCUCGAAAGUGUGGGUAUCAAACAGGAUUAGAUACCCCAGUAGUC